UACGUAGGGGCCUAGCGUUGUCCGGAUUUAUUGGGCGUAAAGCGCUCGCAGGCGGCCUGAUGCGUCGUGCGUGAAACACCCCGGCUCAACUGGGGGGGGUCGUGCGAUACGGUCAGGCUCGAGGCCAGUAGGGGGACGCGGAAUUCCGGGUGUAGUGGUGGAAUGCGUAGAGAUCCGGAGGAACACCAGCGGCGAAGGCGGCGUCCUGGACUGGUACUGACGCUCAGGAGCGAAAGCGUGGGGAGCGAUCCGG
Molecule: ribosomal RNA, 253 nt
Filed under: uncultured bacterium
Lineage: Bacteria
Description: partial 16S ribosomal RNA
Rfam family: Bacterial small subunit ribosomal RNA
Source: RNAcentral